UACGAAGGGGGCUAGCGUUGCUCGGAAUUACUGGGCGUAAAGGGCGCGUAGGCGGCACUGUUAGUCAGGCGUGAAAGUCCUGGGCUCAACCUGGGAACUGCGCUUGAUACGGCAGAGCUAGAGGAUGGAAGAGGGUCGCGGAAUUCCCAGUGUAGAGGUGAAAUUCGUAGAUAUUGGGAAGAACACCGGUGGCGAAGGCGGCUCACUGGCUCGUAUCUGACGCUCAGGCGCGACAGCGUGGGGAUCAAACAGG
This 253-nucleotide ribosomal RNA is filed under the name uncultured bacterium. RNAcentral's name for it is "partial 16S ribosomal RNA". It matches the Rfam family "Bacterial small subunit ribosomal RNA", at positions 524 to 776 of the family's 1533-position model. The record is from RNAcentral.